This 416-nucleotide ribosomal RNA is filed under the name Escherichia coli. RNAcentral describes it as "partial 23S ribosomal RNA". It matches the Rfam family "Bacterial large subunit ribosomal RNA", at positions 2515 to 2925 of the family's 2925-position model. Lineage: Bacteria; Pseudomonadati; Pseudomonadota; Gammaproteobacteria; Enterobacterales; Enterobacteriaceae. RNAcentral also lists the same sequence under 1 other name. The record is from RNAcentral.
UGUUUGGCACCUCGAUGUCGGCUCAUCACAUCCUGGGGCUGAAGUAGGUCCCAAGGGUAUGGCUGUUCGCCAUUUAAAGUGGUACGCGAGCUGGGUUUAGAACGUCGUGAGACAGUUCGGUCCCUAUCUGCCGUGGGCGCUGGAGAACUGAGGGGGGCUGCUCCUAGUACGAGAGGACCGGAGUGGACGCAUCACUGGUGUUCGGGUUGUCAUGCCAAUGGCACUGCCCGGUAGCUAAAUGCGGAAGAGAUAAGUGCUGAAAGCAUCUAAGCACGAAACUUGCCCCGAGAUGAGUUCUCCCUGACUCCUUGAGAGUCCUGAAGGAACGUUGAAGACGACGACGUUGAUAGGCCGGGUGUGUAAGCGCAGCGAUGCGUUGAGCUAACCGGUACUAAUGAACCGUGAGGCUUAACCUU